Molecule: ribosomal RNA, 509 nt
Filed under: uncultured bacterium
Lineage: Bacteria
Description: partial 16S ribosomal RNA
Rfam family: Bacterial small subunit ribosomal RNA
Source: RNAcentral
ACGAACGCUGGCGGCGUGCUUAACACAUGCAAGUCGAACGAAGAGCGAUGGAAGCUUGCUUCUAUCAAUCUUAGUGGCGAACGGGUGAGUAACGCGUAAUCAACCUGCCCUUCAGAGGGGGACAACAGUUGGAAACGACUGCUAAUACCGCAUACGAUCUAAUCUCGGCAUCGAGGAAAGAUGAAAGGUGGCCUCUAUUUAUAAGCUAUCACUGAAGGAGGGGAUUGCGUCUGAUUAGCUAGUUGGAGGGGUAACGGCCCACCAAGGCGAUGAUCAGUAGCCGGUCUGAGAGGAAGAACGGCCACAUUGGGACUGAGACACGGCCCAGACUCCUACGGGAGGCAGCAGUGGGGAAUCUUCCGCAAUGGACGAAAGUCUGACGGAGCAACGCCGCGUGAGUGAUGACGGCCUUCGGGUUGUAAAGCUCUGUUAAUCGGGACGAAAGGCCUUCUUGCGAACAGUUAGAAGGAUUGACGGUACCGGAAUAGAAAGCCACGGCUAACUACGUG